UGAUUUGAGGUCAACUUUAAGAACAUUGUUCGCCUAGACGCUCUCUUCUUAUCGAUAACGUUCCAAUACGCUCAGUAUAAAAAAGAUUAGCCGCAGUUGGUAAAACCUAAAACGACCGUACUUGCAUUAUACCUCAAGCACGCAGAGAAACCUCUCUUUGGAAAAAAAAACAUCCAAUGAAAAAGGCCAGCAAUUUCAAGUUAACUCCAAAGAGUAUCACUCACUACCAAACAGAAGGUUUGAGAAGGAAAUGACGCUCAAACAGGCAUGCCCCCUGGAAUACCAAGGGGCGCAAUGUGCGUUCAAAGAUUCGAUGAUUCACGGAAUUCUGCAAUUCACAUUACGUAUCGCAUUUCGCUGCGUUCUUCAUCGAUGCGAGAACCAAGAGAUCCGUUGUUGAAAGUUUUUAAUAUUUUAAAAUUUCCAGUUACGAAAAUUCUUGUUUUUGACAAAAAUUUAAUGAAUAGAUAAAAUUGUUUGUGUUUGUUACCUCUGGGCCCCGAUUGCUCGAAUGCCCAAAGAAAAAGUUGCAAAGAUAUGAAAAACUCCACAGUGUGUUGUAUUGAAACGGUUUUAAUUGUCCUAUAACAAAAGCACAGAAAUCUCUCACCGUUUGGAAUAGCAAGAAAGAAACUUACAAGCCUAGCAAGACCGCGCACUUAAGCGCAGGCCCGGCUGGACUCUCCAUCUCUUGUCUUCUUGCCCAGUAAAAGCUCUCAUGCUCUUGCCAAAACAAAAAAAAAAUCCAUUUUCAAAAUUAUUAAAUUUCUUUAAUGAUCCUUCCGCAGGU
RNAcentral lists this unclassified non-coding RNA (790 nucleotides) under Saccharomyces cerevisiae (brewer's yeast). Its description in RNAcentral is "sequence contains ITS4, ITS5". The record is from RNAcentral. Lineage: Eukaryota; Fungi; Ascomycota; Saccharomycetes; Saccharomycetales; Saccharomycetaceae.